AGAGUUUGUUCCUGGCUCAGGAUGAACGCUAGCUACAGGCUUAACACAUGCAAGUCGAGGGGCAGCAUGGUCUUAGCUUGCUAAGGCCGAUGGCGACCGGCGCACGGGUGAGUAACGCGUAUCCAACCUGCCUUACACUCUUGGACAGCCUUCUGAAAGGGAGAUUAAUACAAGAUGUUAUCAUGAGUAAGCAUUUUCGCAUGAUUAAAGGUUUACCGGUGUAAGAUGGGGAUGCGUUCCAUUAGAUAGUAGGCGGGGUAACGGCCCACUAGUCUUCGAUGGAUAGGGGUUCUGAGAGGAAGGUCCCCCANAUUGGAACUGAGACACGGUCCAAACUCCUACGGGAGGCA
RNAcentral lists this ribosomal RNA (350 nucleotides) under uncultured bacterium. RNAcentral describes it as "bacterial SSU rRNA". It matches the Rfam family "Bacterial small subunit ribosomal RNA", at positions 8 to 350 of the family's 1533-position model. The record is from RNAcentral.